RNAcentral lists this ribosomal RNA (252 nucleotides) under uncultured bacterium. RNAcentral's name for it is "partial 16S ribosomal RNA". It matches the Rfam family "Bacterial small subunit ribosomal RNA", at positions 524 to 776 of the family's 1533-position model. The record is from RNAcentral.
UACGGGGGGGCAAGCGUUGUUCGGAAUUACUGGGCGUAAAGGGCGCGUAGGCGGUUCGCUAAGUUGGAUGUGAAAACUCUGGGCUUAACCCAGAGCCUGCAUCCAAAACUGGCAAACUUGAGUACUGGAGGGGAAAGCGGAAUUCCUGGUGUAGCGGUGAAAUGCGUAGAUAUCAGGAGGAACACCGGUGGCGAAGGCGGUUCUCUGGGCAUUACCUGACGCUGAGGAGCGAAAGCAUGGGGAGCGAACAGG